Molecule: ribosomal RNA, 497 nt
Filed under: uncultured bacterium
Lineage: Bacteria
Description: partial 16S ribosomal RNA
Rfam family: Bacterial small subunit ribosomal RNA
Source: RNAcentral
GAUGAACGCUGGCGGCGUGCCUAAUACAUGCAAGUCGAGCGAACGGACGAGAAGCUUGCUUCUCUGAUGUUAGCGGCGGACGGGUGAGUAACAUGUGGAUAACCUACCUAUAAGACUGGGAUAACUUCGGGAAACCGGAGCUAAUACCGGAUAAUAUCUUGAACCGCAUGGUUCAAAAGUGACAGACGGUCUUGCUGUCACUUAUAGAUGGCUCCGCGCUGCAUUAGCUAGUUGGUAAGGUAACGGUUUCCCAAGGCGACGAUGCAUAGCCGACCUGCGAGGGGGAUCGGCCACACGGGAACUGAGACACGGUCCAGACUCCUACGGGAGGCAGCAGUAGGGAAGCUGCCGCAAUGGGCGAAAGCCGGACGGAGCAACGCCGCGUGAGUGAUGAAGGUCGUCGGAUCGUAAAACUCUGUUAUUAGGGAAGAACAUAUGUGUAGGUGACUGUGCACAGCUUGCCGUUACCUAAGCAGAAAGACACGGCUAACUACUGG